This 406-nucleotide ribosomal RNA is filed under the name uncultured bacterium. RNAcentral's name for it is "bacterial SSU rRNA". It matches the Rfam family "Bacterial small subunit ribosomal RNA", at positions 28 to 415 of the family's 1533-position model. The record is from RNAcentral.
GAUGAACGCUGGCGGCGUGCUUAACACAUGCAAGUCGAGCGGAGAUAUUAAAAGGAAGCCCUUCGGGGUGGAAUUUUUACAUCUUAGCGGCGGACGGGUGCGUAACACGUGGGUAACCUGCCCCUAUCACUGGGAUAACACACUGAAAAGUGUGCUAAUACCAGAUAAUAUAAGCUUUUGGCAUCAUUAGCUUAUCAAAGAAUUUCGGAUAGGGAUGGGCCCGCGUCUGAUUAGCUAGUUGGUGAGGUAACGGCUCACCAAGGCAACGAAUCAGUAGCCGACCUGAGAGGGUGAUCGGCCACACUGGAACUGAGACACGGUCCAGACUCCUACGGGAGGCAGCAGUGGGGAAUAUUGCACAAUGGGCGAAAGCCUGAUGCAGCAACGCCGCGUGAGCGAUGAAGGC